This 432-nucleotide ribosomal RNA is filed under the name Thalassionema frauenfeldii. RNAcentral describes it as "partial Bacterial large subunit ribosomal RNA". It matches the Rfam family "Bacterial large subunit ribosomal RNA", at positions 5 to 519 of the family's 2925-position model. The record is from RNAcentral. Lineage: Eukaryota; Bacillariophyta; Fragilariophyceae; Thalassionematales; Thalassionemataceae.
AAGGUAAUAAGAGCAUACGGUGGAUGCCUAGGCUCUCAGAGGCUACGAAGGACGUGAUAAGCUGCGAAAAGCUGUGGCGAGCUGCAAAUUAGCAUUGACCCGCAGAUGUCCGAAUGGGGCAACCCAGCAGGUUGAAGACCUGUUUUUAGCGAACGCGGGGAACUGAAACAUCUAAGUACCCGUAGGAAAAGAAAUCGAAGAGAUUCCCUAAGUAGUGGCGAGCGAAACGGGAUUAGCCUAAAGCACAAGAUUAGUAGAAGUGUCUGGAAAGUCACACCAAAGAAGGUGAAAGUCCUGUAAACGACAAUUGAAGUGUGGAAUUAAGUAGGGCGGGACACGUGAAAUCCUGUUUGAAGAUGGGCAGACCAUUGUCCAAGGCUAAAUACUCCUGAGAGACCGAUAGCGAACAAGUACCGUGAGGGAAAGGUGAAA